This 468-nucleotide ribosomal RNA is filed under the name uncultured bacterium. RNAcentral's name for it is "partial 16S ribosomal RNA". It matches the Rfam family "Bacterial small subunit ribosomal RNA", at positions 28 to 507 of the family's 1533-position model. The record is from RNAcentral.
GACGAGCGCUGGCGGCGUGCUUAACACAUGCAAGUCGAACGGAAAGGCCCUGCUUUUGUGGGGUGCUCGAGUGGCGAACGGGUGAGUAACACGUGAGUAACCUGCCCUUGACUUUGGGAUAACUUCAGGAAACUGGGGCUAAUACCGGAUAGGAGCUCCUGCUGCAUGGUGGGGGUUGGAAAGUUUCGGCGGUUGGGGAUGGACUCGCGGCUUAUCAGCUUGUUGGUGGGGUAGUGGCUUACCAAGGCUUUGACGGGUAGCCGGCCUGAGAGGGUGACCGGCCACAUUGGGACCGAGAUACGGCCCAGACUCCUACGGGAGGCAGCAGUGGGGAAUAUUGCACAAUGGGCGGAAGCCUGAUGCAGCAACGCCGCGUGCGGGAUGACGGCCUUCGGGUUGUAAACCGCUUUCGCCUGUGACGAAGCGUGAGUGACGGUAAUGGGUAAAGAAGCACCGGCUAAUUACGUG